Molecule: small RNA, 149 nt
Filed under: Escherichia coli
Lineage: Bacteria; Pseudomonadati; Pseudomonadota; Gammaproteobacteria; Enterobacterales; Enterobacteriaceae
Description: QUAD RNA
Rfam family: Short Intergenic Abundant RNA
About the family: This family contains multiple ncRNA from E. coli that were identified in a large scale screen of E. coli, were they were called candidates 43,55 and 61. These RNAs have also been identified by other groups and called QUAD RNAs.
Source: RNAcentral
UUGACAUCGUUGAUUCUUUGACCUAAUUUAGUGAUUAAGGUUAAGGGGGGAUGCCUCCUCCCCUGGGAUUGCUUGUAAUUAAGUUCCGAACUUAUUCAUAACCAGUACAACAAGUUGAUUAACAAGUCCCAUCAUACCCAUCCCCUUUA